AACGCACCUUGCGCUCUCUGGUAUUCCGGAGAGCAUGCCUGUUUGAGUGUCAUGAACUCUUCAACCCACCGGUUCCUUGUUGGACCGAUUGGUGUUUGGAUUUUGAGCGCUGCUUUUCAUUAAGCUCGCUCGUAAUACAUUAGCAUCUCAAUUUCGUAAUCGGAUUGACUCAGCGUAAUAGACUAUUCGCUGAGGACACUAUUUACUUAGUGGCCGAGAAUGAAAAAGCUAGAAGCUUCCAACCCAUCUAGUCAUUUUUGAUUUAGACCUCAGAUCAGGCAGGAUUACCCGCUGAACUUAA
RNAcentral lists this unclassified non-coding RNA (301 nucleotides) under uncultured fungus. RNAcentral's name for it is "partial contains 5.8S ribosomal RNA, internal transcribed spacer 2, and large subunit ribosomal RNA". The stretch from base 1 to 52 matches the Rfam family "5.8S ribosomal RNA", at positions 103 to 154 of the family's 154-position model. Lineage: Eukaryota; Fungi. The record is from RNAcentral.